Molecule: transfer RNA, 73 nt
Filed under: Talaromyces pinophilus
Lineage: Eukaryota; Fungi; Ascomycota; Eurotiomycetes; Eurotiales; Trichocomaceae
Also listed under: 2 other names
Description: tRNA-Lys (CTT) (tRNA-Lys-CTT-1-1, tRNA-Lys-CTT-1-2)
Rfam family: tRNA
About the family: Transfer RNA (tRNA) molecules are approximately 80 nucleotides in length. Their secondary structure includes four short double-helical elements and three loops (D, anti-codon, and T loops).
Source: RNAcentral
GCCUGGUUAUCUCAAUCGGUAGAGUGUCAGACUCUUAAUCUGAACGUUGCGGGUUCGAGCCCCGCAUCGGGCU